GAUGAACGCUGGCGGCGUGCCUAAUACAUGCAAGUCGAGCGAACAGAUAAGGAGCUUGCUCCUUUGACGUUAGCGGCGGACGGGUGAGUAACACGUGGGUAACCUACCUAUAAGACUGGGAUAACUUCGGGAAACCGGAGCUAAUACCGGAUAAUAUUUGGAACCGCAUGGUUCUAAAGUGAAAGAUGGUUUUGCUAUCACUUAUAGAUGGACCCGCGCCGUAUUAGCUAGUUGGUAAGGUAACGGCUUACCAAGGCAACGAUACGUAGCCGACCUGAGAGGGUGAUCGGCCACACUGGAACUGAGACACGGUCCAGACUCCUACGGGAGGCAGCAGUAGGGAAUCUUCCGCAAUGGGCGAAAGCCUGACGGAGCAACGCCGCGUGAGUGAUGAAGGGUUUCGGCUCGUAAAACUCUGUUAUUAGGGAAGAACAAACGUUUAAGUAACUGUGCACGUCUUGACGGUACCUAAUCAGAAAGCCACGGCUAACUACGUG
RNAcentral lists this ribosomal RNA (497 nucleotides) under uncultured bacterium. Its description in RNAcentral is "partial 16S ribosomal RNA". It matches the Rfam family "Bacterial small subunit ribosomal RNA", at positions 28 to 507 of the family's 1533-position model. The record is from RNAcentral.